RNAcentral lists this ribosomal RNA (506 nucleotides) under uncultured bacterium. Its description in RNAcentral is "partial 16S ribosomal RNA". It matches the Rfam family "Bacterial small subunit ribosomal RNA", at positions 29 to 523 of the family's 1533-position model. The record is from RNAcentral.
AGUGAACGCUGGCGGUAGGCCUAACACAUGCAAGUCGAACGGCAGCACAGGAGAGCUUGCUCUCUGGGUGGCGAGUGGCGGACGGGUGAGGAAUACAUCGGAAUCUACUCUGUCGUGGGGGAUAACGUAGGGAAACUUACGCUAAUACCGCAUACGACCUACGGGUGAAAGCAGGGGACCUUCGGGCCUUGCGCGAUUGAAUGAGCCGAUGUCGGAUUAGCUAGUUGGCGGGGUAAAGGCCCACCAAGGCGACGAUCCGUAGCUGGUCUGAGAGGUUGAUCAGCCGCACUGGAACUGCGACACGCGCCAGGCUCCUACGGGGGGCAGCAGUGGUGAAUAUUGGACAAUGGGCGCAAGCCUGAUCCAGCCAUACCGCGUGGGUGAAGAAGGCCUGCGGGUUGUAAAGCCCUUUUGUUGGGAAAGAAAUCCAGCUGGCUAAUACCCGGUUGGGAUGACGGUACCCAAAGAAUAAGCACCGGCUAACUUCGUGCCAGCAGCCGCCGCCG